RNAcentral lists this ribosomal RNA (637 nucleotides) under uncultured archaeon. RNAcentral describes it as "bacterial SSU rRNA". It matches the Rfam family "Archaeal small subunit ribosomal RNA", at positions 44 to 686 of the family's 1478-position model. The record is from RNAcentral.
AUUAGCCUGCGAGUCUUUGGCAGCAAUGCCAGGCAAACUGCUGAGUACCGUAGUUAACCUGCCCUUAAGUCUGGGAUAAUCUCGGGAAACUGAGCAUAAUACCAGAUAGAUGAUAAUACCUGGAACGGUUUAUCACAUAAAGCUUCGGCGCUCAAGGAUGGGACUGCGGUAGAUUAGGUUGAUGUUAGGGUAACUGCCUAACAUGCCGAUAAUCUAUAGGGGCUGUGAGAGCAGUAGCCCCCAGAUGGGUUCUGAGACACGAACCCAGGUCCUAAGGGACGCAGCAGGCGCGAAACCUCCGCAAUGCACGCAAGUGUGACGGGGGGACCUCAGGUGCUAGCACUAAAAGUGUUAGCUUUUCGUGAGUUUAAAUUGCUCGCGGAAUAAGUGGUGGGUAAGACCGUUGCCAGCCGCCGCGGUAAUAACGGCACCACAAGUGGUGAUCACGCGUAUUGGGUCUAAAGCAUCCGUAGCCGGAUAACCAAGUCAUUUGUGAAACUUCACAGAAAGCUGUGAAAAAGUGCAAGUGAAACUAGUUAUCUUGGGACCGGGAAGGGUUAGAGGUACUUCUAGGGUAGAGGUGGAAUUCUGUAAUCCUAGAGGGACCACCUGUNGGCGAAGGCGUCUAACUGGGAAC